Molecule: non-coding RNA, 143 nt
Organism: Caenorhabditis elegans
Lineage: Eukaryota; Metazoa; Nematoda; Chromadorea; Rhabditida; Rhabditidae
Source: Ensembl
AGUUAACCUUCUUGUUCUUCUUUCUUUCCAUGAACGGAAAGCUCUAGUGCUCCGGAGAAGAUUAAUUUUGUGUCAAAGUCGUCGCCGCCGUCGUGCUCAAUUCGAAAGAAAAGCGAAUCUUUUAAAAGUUACUCUCUUCUUUC